RNAcentral lists this unclassified non-coding RNA (200 nucleotides) under uncultured Tomentella. RNAcentral's name for it is "sequence contains ITS1". Lineage: Eukaryota; Fungi; Basidiomycota; Agaricomycetes; Thelephorales; Thelephoraceae. The record is from RNAcentral.
CCGAACCGUCGACACGAGCUGUUGCUGGCCCUCGAAAGGGGGCACGUGCACGCUCUGUUUACACAUCCACUCACACCUGUGCACCCUCUGUAGUUCUGUGGCCUUGGGGACCCUGUCCCCCUUGCUGUGGUCCUACGUUUUUACACACACACCGUAACAAAGUCUCAUGGAAUGUAUCUCGCGUUUAACGCAAUACAAUA